CAUGCUGUAAACGAUGAUUGCUAGGUGUGGGGGGACUGACCCCUUCCGUGCCGGAGUCAACACAAUAAGCAAUCCACCUGGGGAGUACGGCCGCAAGGUUGAAACUCAAAGGAAUUGACGGGGGCCCGCACAAGCAGUGGAGUAUGUGGUUUAAUUCGAAGCAACGCGAAGAACCUUACCAGGUCUUGACAUCCAACGAAUCCCGUAGAGAUACGGGAGUGCCUUUCGGGGAACGUUGAGACAGGUGG
Molecule: ribosomal RNA, 248 nt
Filed under: uncultured bacterium
Lineage: Bacteria
Description: partial 16S ribosomal RNA
Rfam family: Bacterial small subunit ribosomal RNA
Source: RNAcentral